AUGCUUAACACAUGCAAGUCGAACGAAGUCUUCGGACUUAGUGGCGCACGGGUGAGUAACAUGUGGGAAUCUACCUAGAGGUUCGGAAUAACUGCGGGAAACUGUAGCUAAUACCGGAUGUGUCUGCAAAGAGAAAGAUUUAUCGCCUUUAGAUGAGCCCGCACUAGAUUAGUUUGUUGGUGAGGUAAAAGCUCCACCAAGACUACGAUCUAUAGCUGAUUUGAGAGGAUGAUCAGCCACACUGGGACUGAGACACGGCCCAGACUCCUACGGGAGGCAGCAGUGGGGAAUAUUGGACAAUGGGGGAAACCCUGAUCCAGCAAUGUCGCGUGAGUGAAGAAGGCCUUCGGGUUGUAAAGCUCUUUCAUCAGUGAAGAUAAUGACAUUAACUGAAGAAGAAGCUCCGGCUAACUCCGUGCCAGCAGCCGCGGUAAUACGGAGGGGGCUAGCGUUGUUCGGAAUUACUGGGCGUAAAGCGUCUGUAGGCGGAUCAAAAAGUUAGAUGUGAAAUCCCUGAGCUUAACUCAGGAACUGCAUUUAAAACUAGUGAUCUAGAAUUUGGUAGAGGAUAGUAGAAUUUCCAGUGUAGAGGUGAAAUUCGUAGAUAUUGGAAAGAAUACCAGUGGCGAAGGCGACUAUCUGGGCCAUUUUUGACGCUGAGAGACGAAAGCGUGGGUAGCAAACAGGAUUAGAUACCCUGGUAGUCCACGCAGUAAACGAUGAGUGCUAGUCGCUGGGUCAAUAGAUUCGGUGUCGAAGCUAACGCAUUAAGCACUCCGCCUGGGAAGUACGGU
RNAcentral lists this ribosomal RNA (794 nucleotides) under uncultured Alphaproteobacteria bacterium. RNAcentral describes it as "bacterial SSU rRNA". It matches the Rfam family "Bacterial small subunit ribosomal RNA", at positions 44 to 886 of the family's 1533-position model. Lineage: Bacteria; Pseudomonadati; Pseudomonadota; Alphaproteobacteria. The record is from RNAcentral.